RNAcentral lists this long non-coding RNA (1054 nucleotides) under Homo sapiens (human). RNAcentral's name for it is "DLGAP1 antisense RNA 6". Lineage: Eukaryota; Metazoa; Chordata; Mammalia; Primates; Hominidae. The record is from RNAcentral.
AUUCUGACUCAGGGGUGACUCAGCUCUUCCAUGACCUGUGUUCCCACUUCUCCUUGAUAAGGCCAAUGUUUUGGCCCUACUGGUGAAAAUAUGUAGACCUAACAUCUAUCUCCCUGCUCCAGUUUCAAGAGAAAAGACCUUAUUCAGAGAAAUAUUUAGAAGACUCUUGUGGAAUUCUUGCUGCAGGGAGGAACUUGGAUUGUCCUUCAGUAAAAUUCCACUUUGAUGCGCAAAGCGAACUUGAAUUUCUGCUUGGCCUACCACAGGCCUGCAACAUGCACUUUCUCCUCGAGGGAACUGCCACUCACUGACACGGACAACAGUAAAGGAACUUGGUCUUCACUAUGCCUCAUAGUGGUGGGUCACACUGCCCAGGAGGAACCCGCAAUGAGACCGGCAAAUGCCUUAACCAUCUCAUUGUCUCAUCAGGAAGAAGCUUAAAUGACUCUUCUUGCUCACAUACUUCCUGGGCAAACAUGUCUGCUCUGUUGGGAUAAAGGACGCUCUAGACCAGGCUCUGCUGAAAGAUCCAGGGCAAAGGUUCCUGACAAGACUAUGUCCAGCCUCAAAUAAGGCCACAGAAGAGCCCAGGCUCGCUGACGAGCACCGGCUCCGAGGCAGUCACAUCAGGAGACAGAAACAGACAUGUUGGUGCUGCCCUCUCAGGUCAGUGCAAAUGCCACUUGAGGAGGGCUGAGAGCUUUGCAGCAUAAAAUGACCAGAACAAGGAGAAACACAGAUGCAAUGGCAAUAGCUGGCAAUUCGCACAUGGCGUCAAACACCACUGCCACAGAAGCUUUUUAGCUACAAGCCACGCUAUGCAACCUUUAAGCAAAACAUUAUUGAUUUUGUGGUUGUAAAAACAUACCUUCAACUGCAGAACUCAGUUUUAUGACACCUUGAAUAAAAACAAAAAGUGGCAGUUAUAUAAUGGACCCAAAUCGCCUUUUCCAGGCUUCUCAUAACACACGCAUGCUUCAGAUUUGGAUUUUUCUUUUUCUGCUGGCAUUGCAAGAACGUAACUAAACAAAUAUCAACUUCAAAAAUAAAAUAA